RNAcentral lists this ribosomal RNA (468 nucleotides) under uncultured bacterium. RNAcentral's name for it is "partial 16S ribosomal RNA". It matches the Rfam family "Bacterial small subunit ribosomal RNA", at positions 28 to 507 of the family's 1533-position model. The record is from RNAcentral.
GACGAACGCUGGCGGCGUGCUUAACACAUGCAAGUCGAACGGAAAGGCCCUGCUUUUGUGGGGUGCUCGAGUGGCGAACGGGUGAGUAACACGUGAGUAACCUGCCCUUGACUUUUGGAUAACUUCAGGAAACUGGGGCUAAUACCGGAUAGGAGCUCCUGCUGCAUGGUGGGGGUUGGAAAGUUUCGGCGGUUGGGGAUGGACUCGCGGCUUAUCAGCUUGUUGGUGGGGUAGUGGCUUACCAAGGCUUUGACGGGUAGCCGGCCUGAGAGGGUGACCGGCCACAUUGGGACUGAGAGACGGCGCAGACUCCUACGGGAGGCAGCAGUGGGGAAUAUUGCACAAUGGGCGGAAGCCUGAUGCAGCAACGCCGCGUGCGGGAUGACGGCCUUCGGGUUGUAAACCGCUUUCGCCUGUGACGAAGCGUGAGUGACGGUAAUGGGUAAAGAAGCACCGGCUAACUACGUG